GCCUGGGUGGCUCAGUCGGUUAAGCGUCCGACUUCGGCUCAGGUCACGAUCUCCCGGUCCGUGGGUUCGAGCCCCGCGUCGGGCU
Molecule: non-coding RNA, 85 nt
Organism: Felis catus (domestic cat)
Lineage: Eukaryota; Metazoa; Chordata; Mammalia; Carnivora; Felidae
Source: Rfam